RNAcentral lists this ribosomal RNA (274 nucleotides) under uncultured bacterium. Its description in RNAcentral is "partial 16S ribosomal RNA". It matches the Rfam family "Bacterial small subunit ribosomal RNA", at positions 523 to 796 of the family's 1533-position model. The record is from RNAcentral.
AUACAGAGGGUGCAAGCGUUAAUCGGAUUUACUGGGCGUAAAGCGCGCGUAGGCGGCUAAUUAAGUCAAAUGUGAAAUCCCCGAGCUUAACUUGGGAAUUGCAUUCGAUACUGGUUAGCUAGAGUGUGGGAGAGGAUGGUAGAAUUCCAGGUGUAGCGGUGAAAUGCGUAGAGAUCUGGAGGAAUACCGAUGGCGAAGGCAGCCAUCUGGCCUAACACUGACGCUGAGGUGCGAAAGCAUGGGGAGCAAACAGGAGUAGAAACCCCGGUAGUCC